GCUGGCGGCAUGCUUAACACAUGCAAGUCGAACGGAAACGAUGGAAAGCUUGCUCUCCAGGCGUCGAGUGGCGGACGGGUGAGUAAUGCAUAGGAAUCUGCCCAGUAGCGGGGGACAACUUGGGGAAACUCAAGCUAAUACCGCAUACGCCCUACGGGGGAAAGCGGGGGACCUUCGGGCCUCGCACUAUUGGAUGAGCCUAUGUCUGAUUAGCUUGUUGGUAGGGUAACGGCCUACCAAGGCGACGAUCAGUAGCUGGUCUGAGAGGACGAUCAGCCACACUGGGACUGAGACACGGCCCAGACUCCUACGGGAGGCAGCAGUGGGGAAUAUUGCACAAUGGGCGAAAGCCUGAUGCAGCAAUGCCGCGUGUGUGAAGAAGGCCUGCGGGUUGUAAAGCACUUUCAGUUGGGAGGAAAAGCAAUGGGCCAAUACCCCGUUGUCUUGACGUUACCUACAGAAGAAGCACCGGCUAACUCUGUGCCAGCAGCCGCGGUAAUACAGAGGGUGCAAGCGUUAAUCGGAAUUACUGGGCGUAAAGCGCGCGUAGGCGGCUUGGUCAGUCGGAUG
RNAcentral lists this ribosomal RNA (570 nucleotides) under uncultured Chromatiales bacterium. RNAcentral's name for it is "bacterial SSU rRNA". It matches the Rfam family "Bacterial small subunit ribosomal RNA", at positions 35 to 594 of the family's 1533-position model. The record is from RNAcentral. Lineage: Bacteria; Pseudomonadati; Pseudomonadota; Gammaproteobacteria; Chromatiales.